Perca flavescens (yellow perch) is the source of this 306-nucleotide long non-coding RNA. RefSeq lists it as uncharacterized. The transcript has 3 exons. The record is from RefSeq and is a predicted model, not a curated record. Lineage: Eukaryota; Metazoa; Chordata; Actinopteri; Perciformes; Percidae.
GAAGCUGUGUUUGGCUCCCGCGGUGACCAUCAGAUGUCCUGUUGAAGCUCGUCGCCCUGCUCGGUGUCUCACAGGAAGCAGGUACGAGGUUUCUCCGGGACGGAGACAACACGCCCGUCCCAACAAAGACGCGGUUGUUUCCUGAGAGGACGCGGUUACACACAUGGCUCAGGUGUCUGCACCUGAACGCAGCGUCUCAGCUGCAUACUGGGAGCUGGCCAAGCCGAAUUCCUGACGGCUGCUGUCUCUGCUCUGCUUCCAUGCUGUAGACCUGCACACAGGUCGACCUGUCAGUGAAGCUCCUCC